GACGAACGCUGGCGGCGUGCCUAAUACAUGCAAGUUGAGCGCUGAAGGUUGGUACUUGUACCGACUGGGUGAGCGGCGAACGGGUGAGUAACGCGUGGGGAAUCGGCCUUUGAGGGUGGGACAACAUUUGGAAACGAAUGCUAACACCGCAUAAAAACUUUAAACACAAGUAUUAUGGUUGAAAGAUGCAAUUGCAUCACUCAAAUAGGAUCCCGCGUUGGAUUAGGUAGUUGGUGGGGUAAAGGCUCAACCAGGCGUUGAAUCAUAGCCGAGCUGGGAGGGUGAAUGAGCACAAUGGGACCGGGAAACGGCCCAAACCCCCAAGGGAGGGAGCAAGAGGGGAACAUCGGCAAUGGACGAAAGGCUUACCGCGGAAAGCCGCGUGAGUGAAGGAGGUUUUCGGAUCGUAAAACUCUGUUGGUAGGGAAGAACGGGGGUGAGAGUGGAAAGCUGAUGAAGUGACGGUAACUACACAGAAAGCGACGGCUAACUACGUG
RNAcentral lists this ribosomal RNA (497 nucleotides) under uncultured bacterium. RNAcentral describes it as "partial 16S ribosomal RNA". It matches the Rfam family "Bacterial small subunit ribosomal RNA", at positions 28 to 507 of the family's 1533-position model. The record is from RNAcentral.